UACGUAGGGUGCGAGCGUUAAUCGGAAUUACUGGGCGUAAAGCGUGCGCAGGCGGUUCGUUGUGUCGGCGGUGAAAGCCCCGGGCUCAACCUGGGAACAGCGCUUGAGACUGGCACGCUCGAGUUCGGGAGAGGAUGGUGGAAUUCCCAGUGUAGAGGUGAAAUUCGUAGAUAUUGGGAAGAACACCGAUGGCGAAGGCAGCCAUCUGGACCGACACUGACGCUGAGGCGCGAAAGCGUGGGGAGCAAACAGG
Molecule: ribosomal RNA, 253 nt
Filed under: uncultured bacterium
Lineage: Bacteria
Description: partial 16S ribosomal RNA
Rfam family: Bacterial small subunit ribosomal RNA
Source: RNAcentral